UCAGGCCUAACACAUGCAAGUCGANCGGCAGCGCGGGGGCAACCCUGGNGCCGAGCGGGGACGGGUGAGUAACGCUUGGGAAUCUGCCUGUUAGUGGGGGAUAACUCGGGGAAACUCGAGCUAAUACCGCAUACGCAGUACGGUGGAAAGCCGGGGACCGCAAGGCCUGGCGCUAACAGAUGAGCCCAAGUCGGAUUAGCUAGGAGGUAGGGUAAUGGCAUACCAAGGNUACGAUCCGUAGCUGGUNUGAGAGGACGACCAGCCACACNGGGNCUGAGACACGCCAGNCUCCUACGGGAGGCAGCAGUGGGGAACNUGGACAANGGGGGAAACCCGGAUCCAGCGACGCCGCGUGGGUGAAGAAGGCCUCCGGGUUGUAAAGCCCUUUCGGUGGGGAAGAAAAGAUUNUUUAAUACGUCGGAGUCNUGACGNAC
Molecule: ribosomal RNA, 434 nt
Filed under: uncultured bacterium
Lineage: Bacteria
Description: partial 16S ribosomal RNA
Rfam family: Bacterial small subunit ribosomal RNA
Source: RNAcentral